Molecule: unclassified non-coding RNA, 4014 nt
Filed under: Hevea brasiliensis (rubber tree)
Lineage: Eukaryota; Viridiplantae; Streptophyta; Magnoliopsida; Malpighiales; Euphorbiaceae
Source: RNAcentral
GCCAAAACGUCUGUCUUUAUGACAAUCCAUAGAACUUAGAAGCGGAAAUUCUCUCCAAUUUUUCUUUUUUUUAAUUUUUCUUUCUCAUCAAAUCGUUCAUCAAUUCCUGGCAAUUUCCUUCAACGCGUUGACGUAGAAAAACUCCACAAAGAAAAUUAAUUUCUUGAAAAUGUCUUCUCCGCCUUCUUCUCUCAUCUCUCUUGCGUUGUCCGCUGAGAAAACAAGACCCAAACUCUCUCUUAUCUCCAUCUCCAUUGUUUCUAAGUAGUCACUUGUAAGAUGUAACUCCCAUUUCUCAUUUCUUCAUUUUCCUGUAAGUUUCCUCUUUCAUCACAACUGUGGCUAUCUCUUUCAGCAAGCAGAGUUAUACUUAAUCUGCAUUUUUUUUACUUAAUUUUUAUUCUUUGUUGCGGAAAAGUGUAUUUGGGGGAGCUUGCUGAAAAUUAACUGCAGCUUCUUAUGCCUUUGUUUUUGGAUUAAUUUUGCUUCUUGGGUUUCUGAAAAAAAUUGUUCUUGCUUUGUGGGUUUUCAGUUAAGUGGUUGUGCUUUAUGGGUUUUUCAUAUUAGUGGGUAAGCUUCAGUUGGGUAAUUGAAAUAGUGGGUUAUGCUUUCAUGGGGUUGAAAUAGUUGGGAUUGUAAGUUUAUUGUUGAGUCCGAAUUGGAAUUAUAAGAUGGCCAAGCUAUUAAGCAAAAUUUUGCCUGCUGCUCGAUCAACUCCUAAAGAGGAAGAAAAUGAUGAUUAUAAUGAAUAUUCGUGCUCAUUUGCUGUGGUGUACUCUGGCCCUCCAAUCACUCAUGAAAUUCCCCGAGCAGUGCCAGUUGAUGUUAGCCAAAUCCCAAUCGCAGCCAAACUUGCCUCAACCUCACUGUUGAAUGACGUGUCGUUGCCAGUUAUCCAACCUAUUAGACAGUCUAAAUCAUCAGGUAAGAAAACGUCCAAGGAGCCAAAAUUAGGCACAAAUGGGGUCUCGAAUAGCCUUGAUGUGCCAAGGGAAUCAUCCGAUGGGAUAGAUAAAUCGAGUACAUUCGGUUGUGCAGAUGGCAAUGAGUAUGGACCCAAAUUACCUAAUGUUCCAAGUUCUGGCAGAUUGGAAUUUGCAAAUGGUGACAACUGUGGAACAAAGUUAUCUGAUAGAAAAGGAAGCUCUGAUAAAAAGGGAUUCUGUAAUGGCCGUGACAGUUCUGGUGAAUUAUCUGGAAGAUUGCAAGUUCUGGAAUUUUGUGAUGAUUGUAAUGAUGGUGGGAGCGGAGAUUUUCAAAAUUAUAUGAAUCCCACAAACUGUGAAUCAAUAGGAUCUGAUUUAACUUCCCAUUCUGUGUCAUCUGAUAUUUUUUCUGGAAAAGAGGAGGAUUGUGUUGAAUCAACUCCAUGCCAUGUCAAAAGGCCAUCAACUGUAACUUUCCGUGACCCUGAAUCAAGCAGUGUAGUUCUGGAGGAGUCUGAUGUAUCUGAGGUUGAAAGUAACAUCCCUGCAAGGCAAACGGCUGUAAGGCCUGGAAAGAAAGGGACAUGCUAUCGAUGCUUGAAAGGAAAUAGGUUUACUGAGAAGGAGAUUUGCAUUGUGUGUGGUGCAAAGUAUUGUUGUAAGUGCGUGUUGAGAGCAAUGGGAUCAAUGCCAGAAGGAAGAAAAUGUGUAUCUUGCAUUGGUAAAAAAAUCGAUGAGUCAAAACGAAAGACUUUGGGGAAAUGUUCUCGCAUGCUGAAGCAACUGUUGCCUGAGUUGGAAGUUGAACAAGUAAUGAGUUCUGAAAGAUCCUGUGAAGCAAAUCAACUACCACCGGAGCUUGUUUACGUAAAUAGUCAGCGUCUUUCCCCACAGGAGCUAUUCCUAUUGCUGACCUGCCGGUACCCACCAAAAAAGUUAAAACCAGGAUUCUAUUGGUAUGAUAAAGUCUCUGGUUUUUGGGGAAAGGAAGGAAAGAAGCCUUGCCAAAUAAUUAGUCCCCAGUUGAGCAUUGGGGGUCACAUGCAUCAAGAUGCAAGUAAAGGAAACACAAAUAUUUUGAUAAAUAAUCGUGAGAUCACCAAAACAGAGUUAUUAAUGCUGCAGAUGAUAGGAGUGAAAUGUGAAGGAACAACUCACUUUUGGGUUAGUGCAGAUGGAUCCUAUCAGGAAGAGGGAAUGAAUAAUGUAAAAGGGAAAAUAUGGGACACGAAAAAAGCAAAGUUAAUUUGCACUGCGUUGUCUUUGCCAACUCCCCCUGGUUCUGCCAGUCCUAGUGGAGAAGAAGGGAAUAGUGUUGCCCCAAAAAGCUUUGACCAGAAAAUACUUUAUAAACUUCUUCUUGUUGGCUAUGGAAAAUCUGGCACGAGUACCAUAUUCAAACAGGCAAAAAUUGUCUACAAUAUUCCAUUUUCUGAAGAUGAGCGUCAAAAUAUUAAGCUCAUGAUCCAAAGUAAUUUAUAUGGUUAUCUGGGUAUAUUGCUUGAGGAGCGUGAACGAUUUGAAGAAGAAAGUUUAAUUAUGAAGAAGCGACAUAUCAUUGACCAAUGUAGUUCUUCAGAUACUGCAGGUCAGGUUGGGGAUAAAACAAUCUAUUCUAUUGGCCCCAGGUUGAAAGCUUUCUCGGAUUGGCUUCUAAAGAUAAUGGUAUCUGGUAAUUUGGAAGCCAUAUUCCCAGCUGCCACCCGUGAAUAUGCACAAUAUGUUGAGGAUUUGUGGAAUGAUGCAGCCAUCCAAGCCACAUAUAGCCGCAGGAAUGAAUUUGAAUCACUACCUAGAUCUGCCACUUAUUUCCUAGAACGGGCUGUUGAGAUUUCAAAGAAAGACUAUGAGCCUUCCGAUAUGGACAUCUUGUAUGCUGAGGGAAUUACAUCAUCUAAAGGGCUUUCUUCCAUGGAGUUUUCACUUUCUAAGCAAGAUGAAGACAUCUAUGAACAUGACGAGCAUGAUCCUUUGCAGAGGUACCAACUCAUCAGAGUGCACCCAAAAAUCCUUGGAGGAAACUGCAAGUGGUUGGAAAUGUUUGAAGAUGUUGACAUGGUCUUAUUUUGUGUUUCGUUGAUCGACUAUGAUGAGUUUGUUGAAGACAGUAAUGGGGUUUCCAUUAAUAAGAUGAUAGCAAGCAAGAAUCUAUUUGAAAGUAUUGUUACUCAUCCAACGUUUGAAGACAAGAAAUUUCUUCUCAUGCUGAACAAAUUUGAUUUGCUGGAGGAAAAGAUUGAACAGGUUCCACUCACCCGCUGCGAAUGGUUUCAUGACUUCAAUCCAGUGAUUGGUCAUAAUCCCAACGCCUGCAGCACCAGCAGAUCCAGAAACACCAACCCAUCAUUGGCUCAACGCGCAUUCCAAUAUAUCGCAGUUAAGUUUAAGAGAUUGUUCCGUUCUCUGACUGAUGAGAAGCUGUUUGUUUCACCAGUUACAGCAUUGGAACCUGAUAAUGUUAACGAUGCUCUUAGAUAUGCAAAGGAGAUUCUGAACUGGGAACAAGAGGAUCCCAUUGAAGUAUCUUCUGCAAGCCUUGAGGCAACUUCUGCAAGCAUUGAGGCAAGCUCAUCCUGACGAUUCACUGUAUUAUAUUUUCACCUAAACUGCACCAAUGGUCACUAAAAUUAGUUAUUGAAUUUUAUUAUGGUCACAAAAUGAAUUUUUUUGUAAUUAGGCCACUAAAAUUUUAUUUUAUUUUAUUUUUAAUUAAAUCUAGUUGAACAAAUUUCGAUCAUUUGGUGAAUAAAAGUGGCUUUAUUAUAAUAAUAAAAAAAAGUCCAUAUUAGGAUUUUAUUCAACGAUUGAUAGAAAUAUAUUUAAUUAAAUUUAAUAAAAAUAAAAUUAAAAUUUAGUGGCUUAAUUAUAAUAAAUUUGAUUUUUGUGAUCGUAAUAAAAUUCAGUGACUAAUUUAGUGAUAAUCAGUGUAAGUGAUUUACCUGAAUCAAAGAGAUCAGAGUUUCUUGUCAACGGAAAGGGUCUUGAAUCAAAGUUAGAGAGUCGGUUCAAGCCCUUCCCUUGCGAAAUCAACUGGUUCAAACCAGCAAUUUCAAAUCGAAAUUGGCUUAAUUAAAAAUUUUUUUUUUUU